Molecule: long non-coding RNA, 2074 nt
Organism: Megalobrama amblycephala (Wuchang bream)
Lineage: Eukaryota; Metazoa; Chordata; Actinopteri; Cypriniformes; Xenocyprididae
Exons: 2
Source: RefSeq, a predicted model, not a curated record
CUGUUAUUAUUCAGAAUUAUAAUGAUCUUGCUGAUCAAGAACAGUAAUGCCGCAAAAACAUGUUAAUCGACAACAUAAUAAUCCAGAACCAAGAUGAUCUAGAACUGUUAUUAUUCAGAAUUAUAAUGAUCUUGCUGAUCUAGAACAGUAAUGCCGCAAAAACAUGUUAAUCGACAACAUAAUAAUCCAGAACCAUGAUGAUCUAGAACUGUUAUUAUUUAGAAUCGUAAUUAUCAUGCUGAUCUAGAACCUCAAUGACUCAGAAACAUGGUGAUUGAGAACCAUAAUGAUCCAUAACCAUGAUUCAGUCAUAAUGAUCAUUCUGAUCUAGAACUUUAACACAUCAAAAACAUGAACGAGAACCAUAAUAAUUCAGGACCAUGAUGAUCUAGAACUGUUAUUAUUCAGAUACAUAAUGAUCAUGCUGAUCUAGAACCUCAAUGACUCAGAAACAUGGUGAUUGAGAACCAUAAUGAUCCAUAACCAUGAUGAUCUAGAACUGUCUGUUAUUAUUCAGUCAUAAUUAUCAUGCAGUUCUGGUACUAUAAUGCAUCAAAAUAUGGUGAUUGAGAAUCAUAAUAAUUCAGAACCAUUAUGAUCUAGAACUGUUAUUAUUCAGUCAUAGUGAUCAUGCUGAUCUAGAACUAUAAUGCAUUAAAAACAUGGUGAUUGAGAACCAUAAUAAUCCACAGUGAUCUAGAACUACUAUUCAGUCAUAAUAAUACAGAAUCAGGCUGAUCAAGAACUAUAACGCAUCAAAAACAUGAUGAUCUAGAACUGUUAUUAUUCAGAAUUAUAAUGAUCUUGCUGAUCUAGAACAGUAAUGCCGCAAAAACAUGUUAAUCGACAACAUAAUAAUCCAGAACCAUGAUGAUCUAGAACUGUUAUUAUUCAGAAUUAUAAUGAUCUUGCUGAGCUAGUACAGUAAUGCCGCAAAAACAUGUUAAUCGACAACAUAAUAAUCCAGAACCAUGAUGAUCUAGAACUGUUAUUAUUCAGAAUUAUAAUGAUCUUGCUGAUCUAGUACAGUAAUGCCACAAAAACAUGUUAAUCGACAACAUAAUAAUCCAGAACCAAGAUGAUCUAGAACUGUUAUUAUUCAGAAUUAUAAUGAUCUUGCUGAUCUAGAACAGUAAUGCCGCAAAAACAUGUUAAUCGGCAACAUAAUAAUCCAGAACCAAGAUGAUCUAGAACUGUUAUUAUUCAGAAUUAUAAUGAUCUUGCUGAUCUAGAACAGUAAUGCCGCAAAAACAUGUUAAUCGACAACAUAAUAAUCCAGAACCAAGAUGAUCUAGAACUGUUAUUAUUCAAAAUUAUAAUGAUCUUGCUGAGCUAGUACAGUAAUGCCGCAAAAACAUGUUAAUCGACAACAUAAUAAUCCAGAACCAAGAUGAUCUAGAACUGUUAUUAUUCAGAAUUAUAAUGAUCUUGCUGAGCUAGUACAGUAAUGCCGCAAAAACAUGUUAAUCGACAACAUAAUAAUCCAGAACCAAGAUGAUCUAGAACUGUUAUUAUUCAGAAUUAUAAUGAUCUUGCUGAUCUAGAACAGUAAUGCCGCAAAAACAUGUUAAUCGACAACAUAAUAAUCCAGAACCAAGAUGAUCUAGAACUGUUAUUAUUCAAAAUUAUAAUGAUCUUGCUGAGCUAGUACAGUAAUGCCGCAAAAACAUGUUAAUCGACAACAUAAUAAUCCAGAACCAAGAUGAUCUAGAACUGUUAUUAUUCAGAAUUAUAAUGAUCUUGCUGAGCUAGUACAGUAAUGCCGCAAAAACAUGUUAAUCGACAACAUAAUAAUCCAGAACCAAGAUGAUCUAGAACUGUUAUUAUUCAGAAUUAUAAUGAUCUUGCUGAUCUAGUACAGUAAUGCCACAAAAACAUGUUAAUCGACAACAUAAUAAUCCAGAACCAAGAUGAUCUAGAACUGUUAUUAUUCAGAAUUAUAAUGAUCUUGCUGAUCUAGAACAGUAAUGCCGCAAAAACAUGUUAAUCGACAACAUAAUAAUCCAGAACCAAGAUGAUCUAGAACUGUUAUUAUUCAGAAUUAUAAUGAUCUUGCUGAUCUAGAACAGUAAUG